RNAcentral lists this ribosomal RNA (465 nucleotides) under Vreelandella stevensii. RNAcentral's name for it is "partial 16S ribosomal RNA". It matches the Rfam family "Bacterial small subunit ribosomal RNA", at positions 338 to 795 of the family's 1533-position model. Lineage: Bacteria; Pseudomonadati; Pseudomonadota; Gammaproteobacteria; Oceanospirillales; Halomonadaceae. The record is from RNAcentral.
CCUACGGGGUGCUGCAGUGGGGAAUAUUGGACAAUGGUCGAAAGCCUGAUCCAGCCAUGCCGCGUGUGUGAAGAAGGCCUUCGGGUUGUAAAGCACUUUCAGUGGGGAAGAAAGCCUUGGGGCUAAUACCCUCUAGGAAGGACAUCACCCACAGAAGAAGCACCGGCUAACUCCGUGCCAGCAGCCGCGGUAAUACGGAGGGUGCGAGCGUUAAUCGGAAUUACUGGGCGUAAAGCGCGCGUAGGCGGUCUGAUAAGCCGGUUGUGAAAGCCCCGGGCUCAACCUGGGAACGGCAUCCGGAACUGUCAGGCUAGAGUGCAGGAGAGGAAGGUAGAAUUCCCGGUGUAGCGGUGAAAUGCGUAGAGAUCGGGAGGAAUACCAGUGGCGAAGGCGGCCUUCUGGACUGACACUGACGCUGAGGUGCGAAAGCGUGGGUAGCAAACAGGAUUAGAUACCCUUGUAGUC